CUUGAAAUGUGGCACUAUGCCACACCACUCACUUAGCUUGUCAUUCCUGCCCACAGUUCAUCAUUUCUCUUCCAAGCUCUGCUACUUAAAGGCUUAUUAACACUUAAAUGGGACAGACAUUAUUUUUGUGCUCAAUCUCCUUUCAGGGUUUUCAGUGUAAUUUCCUCUGGAAGAUCCAGAAACUAAAAGGGACAAGAAUUAGCUGCCUUAUCCAUGAGAAAACUCCUGGUUGGUCUCCGGAAUUGAAGUAAGGAGGGUUGACAGAAUCAUAGGUCUUCUACUUUCUGGGAAGAACAAGGCUGGUGGAUUAUGGGAAAGGACAAUGCCAGUUACCUACAGGCAUUCAUCCUGGUGGGCUCUUCUGAUCGGCCUGGACUGGAGAAAAUUCUCUUUGCUGUUAUCUUGAUCUUCUGCAUCCUGACCCUGGUGGGCAACACUGCCAUCAUCCUCUUGCUGGUCAUGGAUGUCAGGCUCCACACACCCAUGUACUUCUUUCUUGGGAAUCUGUCUUUCUUAGAUCUCUGCUUUACAGCAAGCAUUGCCCCUCAGCUGCUGUGGAACCUGGGGGGUCCAGAGAAGACCAUCACCUACCACGGCUGUGUGGCCCAACUCUACAUCUACAUGAUGCUGGGCUCCACCGAGUGCGUCCUCCUGGUUGUCAUGUCCCAUGACCGCUAUGUGGCCGUCUGCCGGUCCCUGCACUACAUGGCAGUCAUGCGCCCACAUCUCUGCCUGCAGCUGGUGACUGUGGCCUGGUGCUGUGGCUUCCUAAACUCCUUCAUCAUGUGUCCUCAGACGAUGCAGCUCUCCCGGUGUGGACGUCGCAGGGUGGACCACUUCCUGUGUGAGAUGCCUGCUCUUAUUGCCAUGUCUUGUGAGGAAACCAUGCUGGUAGAAGCGAUUCACCUUUGCCCUGGGGGUGGCUCUCCUCCUGGUGCCGCUCUCCCUCAUCCUCAUCUCCUAUGGCGUGAUUGCAGCCGCGGUGCUGAGGAUGAAGUCAGCAGCAGGGCGAAAGAAAGCCUUCCACACCUGCUCUUCUCACCUCACAGUGGUCUCUCUCUUCUACGGAACCAUCAUCUACGUGUACCUGAAGCCGGCCAACAGCUACUCCCAAGAUCAGGGGAAGUUCCUGACUCUCUUCUACACCAUCGUCAUUCCCAGCAUCAACCCCCUCAUCUACACUUUGAGGAACAAGGAUGUGAAGGGGACCAUGAAGAAACUUCUGGGGUGGGAGAAAGGGGCUGGGGAGCCUCAACGAGGGGAACACUCUAGUAAUGUAGACAGUUUGCUGGAGUUACUCUCUUAGAUGUGUCUGUGGCCAUGUGGAGAACUAAUAUUCAAGGAGUAGAGUGAACGCGGGUGGGAAAAUGCUUUCGAGUUUGACCCCGUCCUCUGCCCUCUGGAUGUGAAGUGGUUUCCUUCUGUUUGAAGUUGCCUGCUUCAGGAUAUCUCUGCUGUAUCUUGCACUUUCCUUGUCUUUUUGAUUUAUCCACAACUGCUGGGGACUUACAAAACUAAUUCAAUCACCCAAAGGCACUGGGCAGUCUGCAGAUUAUGUCAUGGAUGUCAAAUAAAAAUUGAGACAACAUGA
This is an RNA transcript of Homo sapiens (human), 1591 nucleotides long. It is a transcript of the gene named olfactory receptor family 2 subfamily W member 5 (gene/pseudogene), with no coding region annotated. NCBI's taxonomy places the organism in Eukaryota, Metazoa, Chordata, Mammalia, Primates, Hominidae. The transcript has 2 exons. The record is from RefSeq and is marked validated.